UACGGGGGGGGCAAGCGUUGUUCGGAAUUACUGGGCGUAAAGGGUUCGUAGGUGGCCUGCUAAGUCGGACGUGAAAUCCCUCGGCUUAACCGGGGAACUGCAUCUGAUACUGGAUGGCUUGAGUUCGGGAGAGGGAUGCGGAAUUCCAGGUGUAGCGGUGAAAUGCGUAGAUAUCUGGAGGAACACCGGUGGCGAAGGCGGCAUCCUGGACCGGCACUGACGCUGAGGAGCGAAAGCCAGGGGAGCAAACGGG
This 253-nucleotide ribosomal RNA is filed under the name uncultured bacterium. RNAcentral's name for it is "partial 16S ribosomal RNA". It matches the Rfam family "Bacterial small subunit ribosomal RNA", at positions 524 to 776 of the family's 1533-position model. The record is from RNAcentral.